GAUGAACGCUGGCGGCGUGCCUAAUACAUGCAAGUCGAGCGAACGGACGAGAAGCUUGCUUCUCUGAUGUUAGCGGCGGACGGGUGAGUAACACGUGGAUAACCUACCUAUAAAACUGGGAUAACUUCGGGAAACCGUAGCUAAUACCGGAUAAUAUUUUGAACCGCAUGGUUCAAAAGUGAAAGACGGUCUUGCUGUCACUUAUAGAUGGAUCCGCGCUGCAUUAGCUAGUUGGUAAGGUAACGGCUUACCAAGGCAACGAUGCAUAGCCGACCUGAGAGGGUGAUCGGCCACACUGGAACUGAGACACGGUCCAGACUCCUACGGGAGGCAGCAGUAGGGAAUCUUCCGCAAGGGGCGAAAGCCUGACGGAGCAACGCCGCGUGAGUGAUGAAGGUCUUCGGAUCGUAAAACUCUGUUAUUAGGGAAGAACAUAUGUGUAAGUAACUGUGCACAUCUUGACGGUACCUAAUCAGAAAGCCACGGCUAACUACGUG
Molecule: ribosomal RNA, 497 nt
Filed under: uncultured bacterium
Lineage: Bacteria
Description: partial 16S ribosomal RNA
Rfam family: Bacterial small subunit ribosomal RNA
Source: RNAcentral